This is a long non-coding RNA of Polistes dominula (European paper wasp), 384 nucleotides long. RefSeq lists it as uncharacterized. The record is from RefSeq and is a predicted model, not a curated record. Lineage: Eukaryota; Metazoa; Arthropoda; Insecta; Hymenoptera; Vespidae.
AAUAAAAGUUGAAUAAUUGAGCGCGUGCUUCUAUCAUGUGUUUUCAUCGAAGGAAAAUAAAUAUCUUGUUUAUGUUCUAUAAGAUUAAAUGCUUGAAGAGCUGAUUGAAAAUGGUCUUAUUAUUCGAUUUAAAAUAUUAUAUCAAUUUACAAGGUACAAGGUAGUUUCUGCUUUUAUCAAUAACAUUAUGAUUGUUACAUACUUUUUCGUAGAACACACUUGUCUCUUUAUUUAAGAAAUUCUUUUUUUAUCAUCCUCUAAUGGCUCUUCAAAAAAAUAUAUAUAUAUAUAUAUUACUAUUGCGCCAAAUCUUACGAAAGGCAUAAUCAAAUAUUUGUUUUCUUUCACAAUCUUGUUGUGAAAGACAACAACAAGUUGUCUAAA